This 445-nucleotide ribosomal RNA is filed under the name uncultured bacterium. RNAcentral describes it as "bacterial SSU rRNA". It matches the Rfam family "Bacterial small subunit ribosomal RNA", at positions 354 to 796 of the family's 1533-position model. The record is from RNAcentral.
GUAAGGAAUAUUGGUCAAUGGUCGCAAGACUGAACCAGCCAUGCCGCGUGCAGGAAGAAGGACCUAUGGUUUGUAAACUGCUUUUGUACAAGAGAAAACCCCUCUACGUGUAGAGGGCUGAUAGUAUUGUAAGAAUAAGCAUCGGCUAACUUCGUGCCAGCAGCCGCGGUAAGACGAAGGAUGCAAGCGUUAUCCGGAUUCAUUGGGUUUAAAGGGUGCGUAGGCGGACCUGUAAGUCAGUGGUGAAAUCCCUCAGCUUAACUGAGGAACUGCCAUUGAUACUGCAGGUCUUGAGUACAGAUGCCGUUGGCGGAAUAUGACAUGUAGCGGUGAAAUGCAUAGAUAUGUCAUAGAACACCGAUUGCGAAGGCAGCUGACGAAACUGUAACUGACGCUGAGGCACGAAAGUGCGGGGAUCAAACAGGAUUAGAUACCCUAGUAGUCC